CGGAUCUCUCUGGCUUUCAAUCCCCAUUUCAUUUGUUCUUUGUAAGGCAAUAGUGAACAAAGUAUGCUGAGGUUCGGCAUAAGCAGCCGCCUAGAACACAGAUCCGGGAUGGCAAUUUCCAGUUCCCCCGCUGGAAGGAGGGCGAUUCGUCUCCUGUGCAGCCAAAGCGACAGCUGUCAAAGUCGCAGGGGCUCCUGUGAGCCAGAACCUAAAAGGCUACGUGUGCCUCCUGGCCAUUCAAAUUGUCAGGUUUAGGGACAGAAGUACCCAAACCACAAGUUCUCAGUACUAUGUGAAAAAUGGCUCCUUGCAAGUCAA
Non-coding RNA from Lonchura striata (white-rumped munia), 318 nucleotides. Lineage: Eukaryota; Metazoa; Chordata; Aves; Passeriformes; Estrildidae. The record is from RefSeq and is a predicted model, not a curated record.